Molecule: ribosomal RNA, 267 nt
Filed under: uncultured Spirochaetaceae bacterium
Lineage: Bacteria; Pseudomonadati; Spirochaetota; Spirochaetia; Spirochaetales; Spirochaetaceae
Description: partial 16S ribosomal RNA
Rfam family: Bacterial small subunit ribosomal RNA
Source: RNAcentral
UAACAGGUAACGCUGAGGACGUCUGGCGGAACGUGCCGGUGACAAGCCGGAGGAAGGUGGGGAGUGACGUCAAGUCAUCAUGGCCCCUAUGUCCAGGGCUACACACGUGCUACAAUGGGCGAUACAGAGUGACGCGAAGCCGCGAGGUGGAGCAAAUCGCAGAAAAUCGCUCUCAGUUCGGAUUGGAGUCUGAAACCCGACUCCAUGAAGGUGGAAUCGCUAGUAAUCGCGCAUCAGCAUGGCGCGGUGAAUACGUUCCCGGGCCUU